This 494-nucleotide ribosomal RNA is filed under the name uncultured bacterium. Its description in RNAcentral is "partial 16S ribosomal RNA". It matches the Rfam family "Bacterial small subunit ribosomal RNA", at positions 28 to 507 of the family's 1533-position model. The record is from RNAcentral.
GACGAACGCUGGCGGCGUGCUUAACACAUGCAAGUCGAACGGUGAAGCGCCUUCCUUUUUGGUGGGUGUGGAUGAGUGGCGAACGGGUGAGUAACACGUGAGUAACCUGCCCCCUUCUUCUGGAUAACCGCAUGAAAGUGUGGCUAAUACGGGAUAUUCUGGGUCUCUCGCAUGAUGGGUCUGGGAAAGAUAUUGUUUCGGUGGGGGAUGGGCUCGCGGCCUAUCAGCUUGUUGGUGGGGUGAUGGCCUACCAAGGCGGUGACGGGUAGCCGGCCUGAGAGGGUGGACGGUCACACUGGGACUGAGACACGGCCCAGACUCCUACGGGAGGCAGCAGUGGGGAAUAUUGCACAAUGGGCGCAAGCCUGAUGCAGCGACGCCGCGUGAGGGAUGGAGGCCUUCGGGUUGUGAACCUCUUUCGCCAGUGAAGCAGGCCUGCCUCGUUUGUGGGUGGGUUGACGGUAGCUGGAGAAGAAGCGCCGGCUAACUACGUG